UGGGGAAUAUUGCACAAUGGGCGCAAGCCUGAUGCAGCCAUGCCGCGUGUGUGAAGAAGGCCUUCGGGUUGUAAAGCACUUUCAGCGAGGAGGAAGGUGGUGAGCUUAAUACGCUCAUCAAUUGACGUUACUCGCAGAAGAAGCACCGGCUAACUCCGUGCCAGCAGCCGCGGUAAUACGGAGGGUGCAAGCGUUAAUCGGAAUUACUGGGCGUAAAGCGCACGCAGGCGGUUUGUUAAGUCAGAUGUGAAAUCCCCGGGCUCAACCUGGGAACUGCAUUUGAAACUGGCAAGCUAGAGUCUCGUAGAGGGGGGUAGAAUUCCAGGUGUAGCGGUGAAAUGCGUAGAGAUCUGGAGGAAUACCGGUGGCGAAGGCGGCCCCCUGGACGAAGACUGACGCUCAGGUGCGAAAAGCGUGGGGCAGCAAACAGGAUUAGAUACCCUGGUAGUCCACGCUGUAAACGAUGUCGAUUUGGAGGUUGUGCCCCUUGAGGCGUGGNUUCCGGAGCUAACGNGUUAAAUCGACCGCCUGGGGAGUACGGCCGCAA
This 547-nucleotide ribosomal RNA is filed under the name uncultured bacterium. Its description in RNAcentral is "partial 16S ribosomal RNA". It matches the Rfam family "Bacterial small subunit ribosomal RNA", at positions 355 to 891 of the family's 1533-position model. The record is from RNAcentral.